UACGUAGGGCGCAAGCGUUAUCCGGAAUUAUUGGGCGUAAAGAGCUCGUAGGCGGUCUGUCGCGUCGGCUGUGAAAACUCGGGGCUCAACCCCGAGCCUGCAGUCGAUACGGGCAGACUAGAGUGCUGUAGGGGAGACUGGAAUUCCUGGUGUAGCGGUGAAAUGCGCAGAUAUCAGGAGGAACACCGGUGGCGAAGGCGGGUCUCGUGGGCAGUAACUGACGCUGAGGAGCGAAAGCGUGGGGAGCGAACAGG
RNAcentral lists this ribosomal RNA (254 nucleotides) under uncultured bacterium. Its description in RNAcentral is "partial 16S ribosomal RNA". It matches the Rfam family "Bacterial small subunit ribosomal RNA", at positions 524 to 776 of the family's 1533-position model. The record is from RNAcentral.